AUUGAACGCUGGCGGCAGGCUUAACACAUGCAAGUCGAGCGGGGAAGGGUAGCUUGCUACCUGACCUAGCGGCGGACGGGUGAGUAAUGCUUAGGAAUCUGCCUAUUAGUGGGGGACAACAUUCCGAAAGGAAUGCUAAUACCGCAUACGCCCUACGGGGGAAAGCAGGGGAUCUUCGGACCUUGCGCUAAUAGAUGAGCCUAAGUCAGAUUAGCUAGUUGGUGGGGUAAAGGCCUACCAAGGCGACGAUCUGUAGCGGGUCUGAGAGGAUGAUCCGCCACACUGGGACUGAGGCACGGCCCAGACUCCUACGGGAGGCAGCAGUGGGGAAUAUUGGACAAUGGGCGCAAGCCUGAUCCAGCCAUGCCGCGUGUGUGAAGAAGGCCUUUUGGUUGUAAAGCACUUUAAGCGAGGAGGAGGCUACUUGGAUUAAUACUCUAGGAUAGUGGACGUUACUCGCAGAAUAAGCACCGGCUAACUCUGUGCCAGCCGCCGCGGUAA
Molecule: ribosomal RNA, 501 nt
Filed under: uncultured bacterium
Lineage: Bacteria
Description: partial 16S ribosomal RNA
Rfam family: Bacterial small subunit ribosomal RNA
Source: RNAcentral